This 253-nucleotide ribosomal RNA is filed under the name uncultured bacterium. RNAcentral's name for it is "partial 16S ribosomal RNA". It matches the Rfam family "Bacterial small subunit ribosomal RNA", at positions 524 to 776 of the family's 1533-position model. The record is from RNAcentral.
UACGUAGGCAGCAAGCGUUGUUCGGAAUUACUGGGCGUAAAGAGUGUGUAGGCGGUGCUCCAAGUCUGGUGUGAAAUCUCCCGGCUUAACUGGGAGGGUGCAUUAGAAACUGGAAUGCUAGAGGAUGGGAGAGGUAAGCGGAAUUCCUGGUGUAGCGGUGAAAUGCGUAGAUAUCAGGAGGAACACCUGUGGCGAAGGCGAUCACCUGGGGUUGUUCUGACGCUGAGGAGCGAAAGCUAGGGGAGCAAACGGG